Long non-coding RNA from Pecten maximus, 4772 nucleotides. RefSeq lists it as uncharacterized. The transcript has 2 exons. Lineage: Eukaryota; Metazoa; Mollusca; Bivalvia; Pectinida; Pectinidae. The record is from RefSeq and is a predicted model, not a curated record.
AAAUCAAAGCACCUCAUAUAAUUCGUGAAACCUGAGGUCCGUAUUUUAAAAUUUAGAUGUCCUUUUGUUGAUUUGUGAUACCAAAGCUAGGCCAGAGCAAUUUUCGAAAUAAGAUAAUAAUAUUCAAAGAUAAUAUGUUUAAAAAUAGGCAGAAUUCAUCUUUAAGAAUUGAAAGUAAAGUCAAAUUACUAAUUGGAACAUUAACCGUGAUUCUAAAAUUUUAAGAAUCCAUGAUGAUUAACUUAACUUGAAUUCCUGAUCAACAUUGAAAUGUUUAAGGUACCUACUAACACAUUGACUGUUUUUCUGUUUUACUUAUCAGCAUCUUAAUGAUCUUGACUCCUCCUUGACCUAUGACUCCGACGACUCCUCGUUUGUCACGAACAGCGAGAUCUCUACAUUUUCUAUGCAUGAAGAUCUCUUCUCUCCUGGUUUCCAUGGUGAUGGUGUACAUCGUAUCCCCCCUGAUGUGACCGCUACUAACCCUAAGUUUCAUAAACCUGUUCCGACUACUAACACUCCACAUGUGACAAUUCCAUCUAAGCCAGGAGGUCUCAUCAACUUUCUCAGCUCGGGAAACUCCCCUUCAAAGCAGUCAAUUGACACUCAUCAAACAAAAGGCGUUAGUUUUAAAGUUGAAACUGUUGGAAGUCCACGCAAGACAGGUUUUGUCAACUCACCUGAGAACAGUUAUCUGCGGCCACAGAAAUCGACGGGAAGCAAGGUGUCCGCAUUUUCUAGGUUUAGGAAGUUGAGUACUGGCGAUGGUAAGGUUGGAGUGCCUGAAAAGUCUGGUAGGUCAGACAGGGGAAUGAGUGUGGGAACGUUCAAACCGAUUCAGCACGAGACAUCCUUACAUAGACCAGUCAGUCUCAAGGACUUCAGGACACUGUCGAACUCACCACUGUUUGACGACCAGUCGAAAAGAAACCGUACAAUGUCUACUUCCCCACAGUCAGACAGACAGACCAAAAAACAUUCAGAGGAUAUGGACAGGGAAUCAACAUACCUGUAGAAAUUUAAAUUGGAGCUUUGGUUCACAGGAUCAGUACCUGAUUACUUGCAAUGAUUGUUUUAGUGAUUUUAGUGGAAUUAUGCAUCUUCCGUUUUUUCUCUCUUCUUUUUCAAGAGUUAUGUCCUUUUUAGUUUUGAUGAAUUUACGUCCCCUUCUAUGAUAUCCUGAAAAUUUGAAGGAAAGGUGUUAUGUUAUCAUCAUUGUAUAUUGCAGUCCCUCUGUAAUUAACGUUAACACAGAAACUGUUGAUUUUGUAUCCAGCAUAUAAUAGAAUGGUCCCGUUUUUCUUUGUGAUCACAGAAACUGCUUGUGAUAUAUUGUUUUUGUAGCAUUUAACUUGGUAUCUUUUCCUAAUAGAUAAAAACUGCACAGUAGAGCACGCAUUUUCAAGUUGUAAGUAGAGACGUAAUUUGUUCAGUAAUGCAGAUGUUCAGAUAUUUGAUUGAUGAUAUAAUAAAUACGAUUCCUAGUAUACUGAGGACAUAACAGAAAAUAGGAUAUGCAACUUUUUUAUUAUUCUUUCAAGCAGUAUGAUUCAUAGACAUAUAUUCUGAGAAAAGAUUCACUGUUAAAAAAUACACAUUGUGUACUGUACAUGUGAUGUUAUUGUAGUAUUGUAUGUACGCAUGUUAAUUUGUACUGGAGAUUCAUAUGAUUAUUGUAUCUAUACAUCCAAAUAUAAAAAUUAAGAUUUCUGAAGUUGACAUAUACGUAUGUUGACUUUAUUGUAGUGUUCGUGAAUGUUCUCCGUCAAUUACUGUUAAUUAAGAAAUUGGACAUAUUUGCUUAUGAAUUAAAAGAAUCAUCCGAUUUAAGUAGGGUGUUCAAAUCAUUUGUAGUCGGGCAUCUCAUUCAUCAUUCAUAGAUAAUCUUGGUAUCUGUUACACAACACAUUGCUCUCUGGUACACAACACAUCGGGCAUACUUGGACAAACUAUGUCUGGUACACAACACAUCGGGCAUACUUGGACAAAAUAUUUUUGACACGUCCUGGGGGUGAAAAUUUCACCUGAAGUGAACACGAAGAACAUCGACACGGAACACUGUUCAUGGAACAAAUUUUUGCACUUUUCAUUUGGCAAGGAAAAGAAGAACAAAGUUGGUUAUUCACACAUUGUAAUGGCAAAAGUGUCCACUUCAUAUACAAUUUAUCACUGAUAUAAAAGAAUAAUUUCAACAAGCUUCUGGCACACUAAUGGUUUAUGAAAUCGUAAAUUUUACGUCUGAGUUUUUUAAAUCAUCUUUAAAUGCAUUUUGUCAAAACCUGAUUAAUAAAACAGAGGUACUAGAAGUUUAUACAGAUUUGUAUUUUUAUUGACUUAUUGAAAACAUGUUCUCUAUAUUUUGAAUAAUUGUCCCAAGUUCUGAGUAUGAAUACAGGGAUUUGCUGUUUCUGUCUGUAGUAUAUACUCACUAUAUGAACAUGUAUUCAGCAUAUGAAUGAAAAAAAAAAAAAAAAAAACAUUUUUCACUAACGCAUCUCUCCUAUAUCUAUUCCGAUCCAAUACAAAAUAUUCAUCGUGACAGUCUUUUACAUAUCGGGCCAGUUACGAGAUUAGAUAUGCUAAAUCACUCAAAGAUAACAUUUGUUUCUGCAACUCCUGAUCAUUAUGAUAUUUUGUGAUACUGACAUGUUAACAGAAUCUGAUAAUGGUAUUAACGAACCAAGUACCACAAUGUAUGGGAAUUUCAAAUCUAAUGAAAAAAUCUAGAACUAUGGAUAUAGAUGAACAUUAGAAAGUAUUGUACUUCAGAAGUGAAAAAGUGCACUUACCUUGAGAUAUUUGGUCCAAGUCAUGGUGAUGAGUGCUGAACCUCCGGACAGAUACACAGAUUCCACUGAAAUACAUACGUAUCACCAAAUGUAUAAAUAAGUUUUUAUUAUGCUCCCAGAACAUGGAUUGAACAUUUUGCCUCUAGUGAUCAUUCAGGUAAUCUUUUGAGAAACGUUUAUGUGAACCUACAUUGGAGCAAAACUGUUUAUAGAUAUCCCAUCAAAUGCAGCAUUACUUUUCUGAAAUCAUAUCCAUCUGAACUUGACUUCAUAUCAUGGAAGCUAUUUGGAAGGUAUCAAAAAACAACAAACAAAUCCUAGGGAAGGACCCUGAAAAUAAAUAUUAACAAAAUAAUGGUUGAGUGAUCUCUGGAUAACGUACAGAAAAUAAAAUUGGUAUCAAAUUCAAAUAGUAAGUGCUGUUUAUUCUAAAUUAUUUGUUUUCAGUCCUAGAAGAACAAUAUUCUUCAAAGAUCUGCCUGUGUUGACGCACCUGUAGCAGAAAAAUGAAGGCACACAAAACAAACGUUCCAAGGAAGAUCUUCACAAGUGGUAACUAACUGUAACUAUGGUAACAAACUAUCAUUAAUAUCCACUGACAAUUUUUGUAUGUCGUGGUAAUAAUGGCUUUUGUGAUAACCAGACGGAAGUGAAAACAAUUUACCACAAAGACUUCUAACCAUUGGACUCCCGCGGAAAUGUUGUAACCACAGCGACAACAAACAACAACCUAGUGGUUUACUAUAGUAAAUGUGUCAUCUUCCUCCUAGCUGUAGACUGUGAUUCACUUUUAAGACUUUCCACCCCUAUUGUGUAGAAUAGACUCAACCAUAAUUGGGGAGGAGCCAUAAUGAUCAAUAGCAUGUUUUAUAACGAACACACGGACUCUCCCAUUAAUAGGGAUUUUAUUUUUAUUUAUGGUUGCCAUUGUGAUUCUUCUGACGACUGAUGAUUUUUGCAUUUAGAGACAAUGUCAAAUGCUCUUGGGGUCCAUUAACACGUGUCUGUAGCAAGAUUACUUUGUCUUUGUGACUAAAGGCAAGAGUGGAGAUUUGAGAUUUGAUAUAUCUAUGUUUCAAUAUAAGCUGUUUGAGGACUGUUUCUGUAUGAAUUAUUAGUAUGAAAUAUCUGCUAACGUACGCUGUGUAAAAUAAGCAAAUAAUUUGAUUGGUUUUCAUCCAGUAACCAUGAGUGUCACAUGACCUACAAAGGAUCAUUAAGGAUGUGUAUGUGCUGUAUUGCAUACACUUUAUUUGAAGACUGAGGCGUGUUACUAAAUAAAUUGUUCCACAAUUGGUAUAUUUUAUAAUAUAGAAUAAACAAGUUGAUAAGAACAUAUUUACCGACACAUUUACAAAAAGGGUUUUAAGAAAUUUAGUGGAAAUGUCAAGUUGGAUGGUUGAAUGUUGCGUUUGAUACUUUAAUGUGAAUACAUUACCUCUAGAGUGAUAGAAUGCACUUCAAUCUAACUCCACUGAUUUCUAAGAUUCAUGAUUGGUCCAGUUACUCACACAAUUGCAUAAAAUAUCAUUACGAUGAUUAAUGUGUCAAUUUUGUUUUGAAUAUGACAAUUUCUUAGACUUGAGUCAGUGACUGAAUUUGACUUUUUUCUGAAUUCGAUUUUGUCACUUAAAUAUUGUUUAUCAAAAGAAAUUUGAAAUAUUGAGAAACCUCUUCUCUAUUUCUUUUACAAUGAAAUAUAAAGCUACUCAUCUCAGCAUGGACACAUCUUAUACUCCCUCUCCUUCAGGUGCUUCUGGUUCCACUCACUACCAAAACCUGUCUUACAAUAUGGAAUCAUUCUUACAUACCAUUUUAUGUAUAUGCGAUAUUCCAUUUUAGUAUAUUUAUAUUCAACUGAAAGAGUAGGGCAUUGUUAUUUUUCAACGUUUUCAUAAACAGUCGCUGAAGGUAUUGUGCGAGAAAUCAUCUGUUAAAAAUGUUGACACAGAAAUCAAGAAAUGUAAAAAAAAAAAAAAAAAA